RNAcentral lists this ribosomal RNA (510 nucleotides) under uncultured bacterium. Its description in RNAcentral is "partial 16S ribosomal RNA". It matches the Rfam family "Bacterial small subunit ribosomal RNA", at positions 28 to 507 of the family's 1533-position model. The record is from RNAcentral.
GACGAACGCUGGCGGCGUGCUUAACACAUGCAAGUCGAACGAAGAGCGACGGAAGCUUGCUUCUAUCAAUCUUAGUGGCGAACGGGUGAGUAACGCGUAAUCAACCUGCCCUUCAGAGGGGGACAACAGUUGGAAACGACUGCUAAUACCGCAUACGAUCUAACCUCGGCAUCGAGGAUAGAUGAAAGGUGGCCUCUACAUGUAAGCUAUCACUGAAGGAGGGGAUUGCGUCUGAUUAGCUAGUUGGAGGGGUAACGGCCCACCAAGGCGAUGAUCAGUAGCCGGUCUGAGAGGAUGAACGGCCACAUUGGGACUGAGACACGGCCCAGACUCCUACGGGAGGCAGCAGUGGGGAAUCUUCCGCAAUGGACGAAAGUCUGACGGAGCAACGCCGCGUGAGGGAUGGCGGCCUUCGGGUUGUAAAGCUCUGUUAAUCGGGACGAAAGGCCUUCUUGCGAAUAGUGAGAAGGAUUGACGGUACCGGAAUAGAAAGCCACGGCUAACUACGUG